Molecule: ribosomal RNA, 649 nt
Filed under: uncultured Fretibacterium sp.
Lineage: Bacteria; Thermotogati; Synergistota; Synergistia; Synergistales; Aminobacteriaceae
Description: bacterial SSU rRNA
Rfam family: Bacterial small subunit ribosomal RNA
Source: RNAcentral
AUACCCCAUAGGCCGAGAGGUUAAAGGCAGCGAUGCGCGGCAGGAGGAGCUCGUGUCCUAUCAGCUGGUUGGUGAGGUAACGGCUCACCAAGGCUUCGACGGGUAGCCGGCCUGAGAGGGUGACCGGCCACACUGGAACUGAGAAACGGUCCAGACUCCUACGGGAGGCAGCAGUGGGGAAUAUUGGGCAAUGGGAGGAAUCCUGACCCAGCGACGCCGCGUGAACGAAGACGGCCUUCGGGUUGUAAAGUUCUUUUAUGUGGGAAGAAGGAAGUGACGGUACCACAUGAAUAAGCCCCGGCUAACUACGUGCCAGCAGCCGCGGUAAUACGUAGGGGGCGAGCGUUGUCCGGAAUUACUGGGCGUAAAGGGCACGCAGGCUGUGCUUCAAGUCAGCUGUAAAAGGAUGCGGCUUAACCGUGUUAUGCGGCUGAGACUGAGGUGCUGGAGUACCGGAGAGGCAAGUGGAAUUCCCAGUGUAGCGGUGAAAUGCGUAGAUAUUGGGAAGAACAUCGGUGGCGAAGGCGACUUGCUGGACGGUAACUGACGCUGAGGUGCGAAAGCCAGGGUAGCGAACGGGAUUAGAUACCCCGGUAGUCCUGGCUGUAAACGAUGAAUGCUAGGUGUGCGAGCAGAGAUGUUGGCGUGC